This 1466-nucleotide long non-coding RNA is filed under the name Homo sapiens (human). RNAcentral describes it as "HSALNT0048993". The record is from RNAcentral. Lineage: Eukaryota; Metazoa; Chordata; Mammalia; Primates; Hominidae.
UUUCCUUCUCUGCUUCUGUAAGCUGAGGCUGUGAGAACAGGGGCUGCCUUGCUUCGAUACUUAAGCCAAAGUUGGCCCAUGAGAUUGUAGAAAGGUUAACCGGCUCUGCAGCAAGAAAAACAUAGGAAGGCUAUGAAUUAAUCUAUUCACUGUCUUCCCCCUCAUUCGUUCCCACAUAGCCCCCAUUAUCUUCCAUGAACCUAAACAGCCAGUGCUGUGUCACUACUGGUGGACCUCCCAAGAGCUUCCUCUGUCCCUAAAAGUGGGGCGCCAAUUCAUACCCAGGAAGAGCAACCACAGCUUCCACCCUCUCCCUACAUAAAAAUUAUAGCCAUUCCAGGGAUACUGCUGAGCAUGGACUAGCAAGACCCAAACUGGGGGACAUGGUGUACCAGAAAACCUGGGAGCACACCUUGGACCCAGUCCAAGAGGCGCAGAGGCAAUAUCCCAAUGGAAGCCACCAAGAGGCAAACCAGGAAAACAGGAGCUAACAUCAGGAAUCUGCCAGGCAGAACAACCAACAGGGGGCAGUGACUCCAAAUUGACUAUAGGAGGUGCUGGCCUGAUUCCGGGAGACAGCAGGACCCUCAACCUCUUGGGUGUAUAUGCUUCCAAGAAGAUGAAUGUGUGUGUCUCUAUGGGCACCACUGGGCCUCCAGUGCAUUCCAUAUGGGACCCUACCUCUUUCUGGCACCUGUAGUCAAGCUGCCCUUUCCUAUGGGGACCUAAGGGGAACUGAUUCCCUCGCUCUUUGUCGCAAGCUGCAAAGCCAGCACUCAGCUCUGAGAUGAAGGCAGGAUAAGCAGCAGGACCUCCCCGGUAGUGAGCAGAUGGAUUAGGACUAAUUUUGCAAAGGCACCUGAUUUAAUAUAUAUUGUUGAUUCGUUACAUUGAACAACUCGUGGCCAACAACGCCACAACUCAUGCCUGUGUGAAGCUUCUCUAACACACGGAUUUCCUCCAGGAAGCACAUCACAGCCUUCUCAUGCUUGGGAACACCAGACGGCUCUUCUGUGCUGUGCUUGGGACCAUCUUAAACAGUGAAAUCACUAUCAAAAACACAAAUUGGUGACAAACCAUGGCACUAAAUAGACUGUGAAAAGGACAAUUGUUUACAACGUGCGAGCUGGAGCAAGAAGGCAGAGCGUUGCUUUGCUCAACUCAGUGGGAUGUGUGCCUUGGGUGACUCAAAUGUUUCAAAGCUCUGUGCACAUCCACCAGUGAGCAUGAAAGCACCUCGGGUAUCAAUUUUGGGGUUACUAAUCGAUUUCAGCAGUGGGAGAAUUCACAAAUACGGAAUCUGUAAAUGAUGAGGAUGGGCUGUUUUGUUGUUUUCAGCUGCUGAGUUUGUGAUCACUUGUUAGGCAGCCAUCGCCAACUAACUCAGUCUCUCACUGCCGUCACUCUGCCUGCCGGCAAACCCCAGCCAAGCUCCCUCUCAGAAAUAAAAUUCUGUUUCCGGUGAA